This 507-nucleotide ribosomal RNA is filed under the name uncultured bacterium. Its description in RNAcentral is "bacterial SSU rRNA". It matches the Rfam family "Bacterial small subunit ribosomal RNA", at positions 774 to 1281 of the family's 1533-position model. The record is from RNAcentral.
AGUCAAUAGAUACCCUGGUAGUCCAUGCCGUAAACGAUGAUUGCUAGGUGUGGGGGGUCUGACCCCUUCCGUGCCGGAGUUAAACACAAUAAGCAAUCCACCUGGGGAGUACGGCCGCAAGGUUGAAACUCAAAGGAAUUGACGGGGGCCCGCACAAGCAGUGGAGUAUGUGGUUUAAAUUCGAAGCAACGCGAAGAACCUUACCAGGUCUUGACAUCCACCGAAUCCUGUAGAGAUACGGGAGUGCCCUUCGGGGAACGGUGAGACAGGUGGUGCAUGGUUGUCGUCAGCUCGUGUCGUGAGAUGUUGGGUUAAGUCCCGCAACGAGCGCAACCCUUGUGAAUAGUUGCUACGAAAGAGCACUCUAUUCAGACCGCCGUUGACAAAACGGAGGAAGGUGGGGAUGACGUCAAAUCAUCAUGCCCCUUAUGACCUGGGCUACACACGUACUACAAUGGCCGUUAACAGAGGGAUGCAAUACCGCGAGGUGGAGCGAACCCCUAAAAA